Long non-coding RNA from Brienomyrus brachyistius, 399 nucleotides. RefSeq lists it as uncharacterized. Lineage: Eukaryota; Metazoa; Chordata; Actinopteri; Osteoglossiformes; Mormyridae. The transcript has 3 exons. The record is from RefSeq and is a predicted model, not a curated record.
AAUUAAGAAAACGAACCGAAAUUAAAUACUUUCAAUUCUUUAUACAAUGCAUCAACAGCCAUCACAAAGCUAGCCUCGAAAAAUCAAUUCUCUCAAAUACUGGGAUCCAAUUUUAAAUGAGCACCUGGUUCAAAACCAAGAGACUACAGACGAAGUAGGCGGAGACGAAACUUAAGAGUUGGUAUCAAUAAAACGCGCACUCUCAAUCUCAACAUAACACAAGAGGAAUCGUUUGUCUGCUAGGCAAUAAACAUUAUGAAGUCUUCGUUUUUGGAGAUCAGGCGUAAAGGCGUGCAACCGCUUCCUGGGUCCUACCUCAGUCUGUAACAAAACAGUUGUUUUCAAGGUUCUAAAAGCGGGCUCACACCUCAUCAGCAAACCGCCAGACAACCUCUAUGU